Molecule: ribosomal RNA, 465 nt
Filed under: uncultured bacterium
Lineage: Bacteria
Description: partial 16S ribosomal RNA
Rfam family: Bacterial small subunit ribosomal RNA
Source: RNAcentral
CUACGGGGCGCACCAGUGGGGAAUAUUGCACAAUGGGCGCAAGCCUGAUGCAGCCAUGCCGCGUGUAUGAAGAAGGCCUUCGGGUUGUAAAGUACUUUCAGCGGGGAGGAAGGGAGUAAAGUUAAUACCUUUGCUCAUUGACGUUACCCGCAGAAGAAGCACCGGCGAACUCCGUGCCAGCAGCCGCGGUAAUACGGGAGGGUGCAAGCGUUAAUCGGAAUUACUGGGCGUAAAGCGCACGCAGGCGGUUUGUUAAGUCAGAUGUGAAAUCCCCGGGCUCAACCUGGGAACUGCAUCGGAUACUGGCAAGCUUGAGUGUCGUAGAGGGGGGUAGAAUUCCAGGUGUAGCGGUGAAAUGCGUAGAGAUCUGGAGGAAUACCGGUGGCGAAGGCGGCCCCCUGGACGAAGACUGACGCUCAGGUGCGAAAGCGUGGGGAGCAAACAGGAUUAGAUACCCCGGUAGUC